Quercus lobata is the source of this 90-nucleotide small nucleolar RNA. RefSeq annotates it as small nucleolar RNA SNORD96 family. Lineage: Eukaryota; Viridiplantae; Streptophyta; Magnoliopsida; Fagales; Fagaceae. The transcript has a single exon. The record is from RefSeq and is a predicted model, not a curated record.
UCGCCAAUGAGGAUAUCAUUAACCAAUAACCAUCUUUCGGGACUGAAUGGCUUUUUAAGGCCUUGAUGUUAUUCUGCAAUUCUGAGGCGA